GAUGAAGAACGUAGCAAAAUGCGAUAAGUAGUGUGAAUUGCAGAAUUCAGUGAAUCAUCGAAUCUUUGAACGCACAUUGCGCCCGCCAGUAUUCUGGCGGGCAUGCCUGUUCGAGCGUCAUUUCAACCCUCAGGCCCCCAGUGCCUGGUGUUGGGGAUCGGCCCAGCCUUCCUGUAAGGCCGCCGGCCCCGAAAUCUAGUGGCGGUCUCGCUGUAGUCCUCCUCUGCGUAGUAGCACAACCUCGCAGUUGGAACGCGGCGGUGGCCAUGCCGUUAAACACCCCACUUCUGAAAGUUGACCUCGGAUCAGGUAGGAAUACCCGCUGAACUUAAGCAUAUCAAUAAGCGGAGGA
This 352-nucleotide unclassified non-coding RNA is filed under the name soil metagenome. Its description in RNAcentral is "partial contains 5.8S ribosomal RNA, internal transcribed spacer 2, and large subunit ribosomal RNA". The stretch from base 1 to 120 matches the Rfam family "5.8S ribosomal RNA", at positions 35 to 154 of the family's 154-position model. The record is from RNAcentral.